AAAAAUUAAGCCUAAAAUACGCAAUACAAAGCAGAAUGUGUUGAUGGUUUGAUGUGUUACACAGUGGUACACACACACUAAUCGUUGAUACGAAGAGUUAACUCCGCUUCGUCAAAUUUCUCUCGUUGAGAAUAAAACAUACAAACACAGGGAAUGUCCAUUGUUAAGCAAAACAUCGUUCCCAUCCCUAGACGUGUUUACAAGUUCUGCUGAGAGUGAAC
Bradysia coprophila is the source of this 221-nucleotide long non-coding RNA. The record is from RefSeq and is a predicted model, not a curated record. NCBI's taxonomy places the organism in Eukaryota, Metazoa, Arthropoda, Insecta, Diptera, Sciaridae.